AUUCUGAGCCGUCACGAAACCCAGCCGCCGCCACGGACGUCUAUCCCCAUUACCCAAGCUGCGGAAGGCUACUGUUGCUCCCGCUGGCCGGCGAUGGAAGAUGCCGGGUUGAGUUCUUGCUGGACGCCGUCGACCGGUUUCCCCUCCGGGAAUAGUUCGCGGACAACUUGUAGCAUCCAGAUCAGGUUCCUUUGGUGGUACUCCCACGACGUAAUCACACCAGUGCUGAGCCUGGUCACUCCAAUGCUGGCUACGGAUGCGGACAGCAUGUUGGCGGCGCUAGCAGGGCAGGCCGCAGGGCGACGGUAGACGGCGGCGGCAGGCUUCGACGACACCCAUGACAGGUAAGAUCUGAGGGGGAACCGAAGGUGCUGUGGCGUGCUGCUUUGAAGUUAGCCGGGCCAGUACUUUGACUGGCUAACUGGAUCGGAGACGAAGUAGCAGGCACUGCUGCUCUUCCUCAUCCUCCUCCUUCCACCUGUUCGACGCAUACCCUCUGUCUCGGACCCGUGUGCAAGAACAGAGCAGGAGCUGCUCCGUCCAUGGAAGGCCUCGAGUUCUUCUUCGAAAAGGCUGAUUCAAGGCAAUAAUGCUUGUACUGUCCGGUUAAAUAUGUGAUUGGCGAGGCAUUGAACACCCUCCCCGUGGAGUCAUUAGGUUUUUAUUUACCUUUUUGCUAGAUCCAGGGUAGCUGAUGGUUUGAAUCCUGCGUUUGUAGGUUGCUGAGGAGGGAUGAUGUUGGUACCAAUAUUCUUAUACUUAUUUACUAUCCCUAAAUUAACUGACUAAUACAACAUCGGACUAAAAUUUUGAUUGAUACACUAACACUGCAUAUCCGGAUCAGGCCCGACAAAAAGCAUAGUAAGAACAAUUAAAGCCAAUUAAAAUCAAAUUCUUCAUCAGAAAAACAACUAAAAUUUAAACUGUCACAACAAAACAUUUUUCCUGGGCACUUGAUUUAUAGUCUUUCAUUAUGCAGGUUAGGGGUUGCGAAAAAUCAUGAUGAAAGAGACAGGGGCCCAAACAGAGUUUCACCACUAGAGUCCUCUCUGCGGGCGUAUGCUGGCAUCGGGGGCUGUCGUUAGUCCAAUCCUGCCAUUGGAACAAGUUCUGUUUCCCUAGAGGAGGCUUAUGAUUUCUACAAACCUUACUCAUGGGAAAGUGGAUUUGGUGUUCUAUACGCCAAGAGCAGACUUAAUGUUCAUAGGGAGGAGUGCAUGCAGGAAAUCAUAAAUAAUUCAGAAUUCAGAAUGCUGACGCUCAUGCAGGUGCUUGUAUGAUGUUCAGGGCAAUCCGUUAAAAGAUAACAGUCGAUCAUCAUGUUGUGGCUGCACGGCGAUGAUAAGGCUCCUCCAGUCAGAUGACAAUGGGUGUUAUAUGGCCGAGCACACAACAGAUCACAAUCACUGACUGACAAUUAUUUGAAUGGGCUUGGAAGCAAACUUGCGUGGAGCCUGGCUCUACUUAACUUGUUGUACACGAGACGGCAUAGGUGGUCGACCAUAAAAUUGCUCCCGGUGUACCUUGGGCUCCUAGUUUUUGUGUGCCAAAAAAAGUAAGCAAGCAAGUGACUCCUUAGGGUGAUGCGCGGUCACGGAUAAGUCACCAUGCAAUGGCUGGUGCGCUGGUGGAGAUAGAUGAUGAUGAAGUUAGCAGCAACCCGUGUAAGAAGCCAAGGAUCCGCUAAAUGAUGCCUCCGAUGGCUGUUUUGUACUGUGCUUAGCUGAAAAUACCAUUUGUAC
Long non-coding RNA from Triticum dicoccoides, 1742 nucleotides. RefSeq lists it as uncharacterized. The record is from RefSeq and is a predicted model, not a curated record. The transcript has 2 exons. Lineage: Eukaryota; Viridiplantae; Streptophyta; Magnoliopsida; Poales; Poaceae.